Molecule: ribosomal RNA, 419 nt
Filed under: bacterium
Lineage: Bacteria
Description: partial 16S ribosomal RNA
Rfam family: Bacterial small subunit ribosomal RNA
Source: RNAcentral
UGGGGGAUAUUGCACAAUGGGCGAAAGCCUGAUGCAGCGACGCCGCGUGGGGGAUGAAGGCCUUCGGGUUGUAAACUUCUUUUGCUCUGAACAAGGCAUGCUAAUGGGUGUGUUGAGUGUAGGGGUUGAUUAGCGCCGGCUAACUACGUGCCAGCAGCCGCGGUAAUACGUAGGGCGCGAGCGUUGUCCGGAAUUAUUGGGCGUAAAGGGCUUGUAGGUGGCUGGUUGCGUCUGUCGAGAAAGCUCAUGGCUUAACUGUGGGUUUGCGGUGGGUACGGGCUGGCUUGAGUGCAGUAGGGGAGGCUGGAAUUCCUGGUGUAGCGGUGGAAUGCGCAGAUAUCAGGAGGAAUACCGGUGGCGAAGGCGGGUCUCUGGGCUGUUACUGACACUGAGGAGCGAAAGCAUGGGGAGCGAACAGG